This 613-nucleotide ribosomal RNA is filed under the name uncultured bacterium. RNAcentral's name for it is "bacterial SSU rRNA". The stretch from base 1 to 520 matches the Rfam family "Bacterial small subunit ribosomal RNA", at positions 338 to 873 of the family's 1533-position model. The record is from RNAcentral.
CCUACGGGAGGCAGCAGUGGGGAAUAUUGGGCAAUGGAGGAAACUCUGACCCAGCGACGCCGCGUGCGGGAUGAAGGCCUUCGGGUUGUAAACCGCUUUCAGCAGGGAAGAAGCGAAAGUGACGGUACCUGCAGAAGAAGCACCGGCUAACUAUGUGCCAGCAGCCGCGGUAAUACAUAGGGUGCAAGCGUUGUCCGGAAUUAUUGGGCGUAAAGAGCUCGUAGGUGGUUCGUCACGUCGGAUGUGAAAAUCUGGGGCUUAACCCCAGACCUGCAUUCGAUACGGGCGAGCUUGAGUAUGGUAGGGGAGUCUGGAAUUCCUGGUGUAGCGGUGGAAUGCGCAGAUAUCAGGAGGAACACCAAUGGCGAAGGCAGGACUCUGGGCCAUUACUGACACUGAGGAGCGAAAGCGUGGGGAGCGAACAGGAUUAGAUACCCUGGUAGUCCACGCCGUAAACGGUGGGCACUAGUUGUGGGGACCUUCCACGGUCUCUGCGACGCNGCUACGCAUAGUGCCCGCCGUCGGGAGGUACGAGUCGCGAAGAAUUAAAACUUAAAAUUAGUAAGUUAGUACGGACGUGAGACGUGCCGACGGACGACGACGAGGGAGGAGG